RNAcentral lists this ribosomal RNA (442 nucleotides) under uncultured bacterium. RNAcentral's name for it is "partial 16S ribosomal RNA". It matches the Rfam family "Bacterial small subunit ribosomal RNA", at positions 338 to 795 of the family's 1533-position model. The record is from RNAcentral.
CCUACGGGUGGCAGCAGUAGGGAAUCUUUCACAAUGGGCGAAAGCCUGAUGGAGCAACGCCGCGUGCGUGAUGAAGGCCUUCGGUUUGUAAACUUCUUUUAUCAGCGAAGAAUAUGAUGGUAACUUAUUAAUAAGGCUCGGCUAACUACGUGCCAGCAGCCGCGGUCAUACGUAGGAGCCGAGCAUUAUCCGGAGUGACUGGGUGUAAAGAGUUGCGUAGGUGGAAUAAUAAGUAGCUAGGAAAAUCUGGUGGAUUAACCAUUCAGACUAUUAGGUAAACUGUUAAGCUAGAGACCGUUAGGGGUAACUGGAAUUGCUAGUGUAGGAGUGAAAUGCGUAGAUAUUAGAAGGAACACCAAUAGCGUAGGCAGGUUACUGGGAUGGGUCUGACAUUAAGGCACGAAAGCGUAGGGAGCAAACGGGAUUAGAUACCCGAGUAGUC